UCGAGAAUCUUCGGCAAUGGGCGAAAGCCUGACCGAGCGAUGCCGCGUGCGGGAUGAAGGCCUUCGGGUUGUAAACCGCUGUCGUAGGGGAGAAAGGGUCGUUGAAGAAACGACUUUGAUCUAUCCUAGGAGGAAGUCCGGGCUAAGUUCGUGCCAGCAGCCGCGGUAACACGAACCGGACAAACGUUAUUCGGAAUUACUGGGCUUAAAGGGUGCGUAGGCGGUGCGGUAAGUGCGGUGUGAAAUCCCACGGCUCAACCGUGGAAUUGCGCUGCAUACUGCCGUGCUAGAGGGAGACAGGGGUAAGCGGAACUGAUGGUGGAGCGGUGAAAUGCGUUGAUAUCAUCAGGAACACCGGUGGCGAAAGCGGCUUACUGGGUCUCUUCUGACGCUGAGGCACGAAAGCUAGGGUAGCGAACGGGAUUAGAUACCCAAGUAGUCCCUG
This 445-nucleotide ribosomal RNA is filed under the name uncultured bacterium. Its description in RNAcentral is "bacterial SSU rRNA". It matches the Rfam family "Bacterial small subunit ribosomal RNA", at positions 355 to 799 of the family's 1533-position model. The record is from RNAcentral.